This 1255-nucleotide ribosomal RNA is filed under the name metagenome. Its description in RNAcentral is "bacterial LSU rRNA". It matches the Rfam family "Bacterial large subunit ribosomal RNA", at positions 1634 to 2881 of the family's 2925-position model. The record is from RNAcentral.
AUAUACGACCGUACCGCAAACCGACACUGGUGCGCGAGAUGAGUAUUCUAAGGCGCUUGAGAGAACUCAGGAGAAGGAACUCGGCAAAUUGACACCGUAACUUCGGAAGAAGGUGUGCCUUAUUAGUGUGAAGUGAACAACGGAGCAUGAAUGGGUUGCAAAAAAUCGGUGGCUGCGACUGUUUAUUAAAAACACAGCACUCUGCAAACACGAAAGUGGACGUAUAGGGUGUGACGCCUGCCCGGUGCUGGAAGAUUAAAUGAUGGGGUGCAAGCUCUUGAUUGAAGUCCCAGUAAACGGCGGCCGUAACAAUAACGGUCCUAAGGUAGCGAAAUUCCUUGUCGGGUAAGUUCCGACCUGCACGAAUGGCGUAACGAUGGCCACACUGUCUCCUCCUGAGACUCAGCGAAGUUGAAAUGUUUGUGAUGAUGCAAUCUCCCCGCGGAAAGACGGAAAGACCCCAUGAACCUUUACUGUAGCUUUGUAUUGGACUUUGAACAGAUCUGUGUAGGAUAGGUGGGAGGCUUUGAAGCAGGGUCGCUAGAUCUUGUGGAGCCAACGUUGAAAUACCACCCUGGUGUGUUUGAGGUUCUAACCUAGGUCCAUUAUCUGGAUCGGGGACAGUGCAUGGUAGGCAGUUCGACUGGGGCGGUCUCCUCCCAAAGCGUAACGGAGGAGUUCGAAGGUACGCUAGUUACGGUCGGACAUCGUGACGAUAGUGCAAUGGCAUAAGCGUGCUUAACUGCGAGACUGACAAGUCGAGCAGAUGCGAAAGCAGGACAUAGUGAUCCGGUGGUUCUGUAUGGAAGGGCCAUCGCUCAACGGAUAAAAGGUACUCUGGGGAUAACAGGCUGAUACCGCCCAAGAGUUCAUAUCGACGGCGGUGUUUGGCACCUCGAUGUCGGCUCAUCUCAUCCUGGGGCUGUAGCCGGUCCCAAGGGUAUGGCUGUUCGCCAUUUAAAGAGGUACGUGAGCUGGGUUUAAAACGUCGUGAGACAGUUUGGUCCCUAUCUUCCGUGGGCGCUGCAGAUUUGAGGAAGCCUGCUCCUAGUACGAGAGGACCGGAGUGGACACACCUCUGGUGUAUCGGUUGUCACGCCAGUGGCAUUGCCGAGUAGCUAAGUGUGGAAGAGAUAACCGCUGAAAGCAUCUAAGCGGGAAACUCGUUUCAAGAUGAGAUCUGCCGGGGCCUUGAGCCCCCUGAAGAGUCGUUCAAGACCAGGACGUUGAUAGGUCAGGUGUGGAAGUGAAAAAA